UUGGCUCAAAGCGGAUGAUUUUAGCUUAUACAAGGAUCCGACCGAUGAUGACCUUGCUUUUUAUCAAGAAAUUGAAGAAAUUGAAAAAAGCUCAAGUCACUCAACCAUUACUCAAGAGACUCGAGAUGGUUCUCCAAAUUUAUCUUCUACUAGUUAAUCCACCAAAUGAUGAGGUUAAUAUUUCUAGAUGAUUUCGACAAGAUGAAGGGUUUGGUGUUCAAGAAUCAAGAUCAAGACAACUACUAGUUUUUGCUAAUUAUUGUGAUGGAGUUUGUUCAAACUUUAUGGUGUGUUUUUUUGUACUUGGUUGUGUUGUAUUUUGAUUAUGGAGAUAAGAACACUAUUAAUUUUA
Salvia splendens (bonfire salvia) is the source of this 352-nucleotide long non-coding RNA. RefSeq lists it as uncharacterized. Lineage: Eukaryota; Viridiplantae; Streptophyta; Magnoliopsida; Lamiales; Lamiaceae. The transcript is spliced from 3 exons. The record is from RefSeq and is a predicted model, not a curated record.